This 376-nucleotide unclassified non-coding RNA is filed under the name Hevea brasiliensis (rubber tree). The record is from RNAcentral. Lineage: Eukaryota; Viridiplantae; Streptophyta; Magnoliopsida; Malpighiales; Euphorbiaceae.
GAAGAAGAAAAAGAAGGGAAAGAAGGAAAGAAAUUUCAGGAGAAGAAGGAAGAAGAAAUGGAGAAAGGAAGAAAAUAGAAAGGAAGAAGAUCAAGGAAGGGAAGUGGAAAAGAGUGAAAGAGAUAAAGAAUAAGAGAGAAGUAAAAUCUAGCCUAAUUUCAUUUUAUUUCUUUGCCGCUUCUCAGACUCAUCCUCAUCCUCUUUGAAAAGUAAAAUAUCAGAGGAACCUAACUCCAAAUCAUAACCAUGAAAUCGAAAAGCAACCUCUUCAGCAACCUCAAUUACCUUUUGAGUCAUCUAGCUUAUGCCAUGUGGCUGGAAAGGCCCACAUGUAGCAAAAAUAACGCCCAGACAGACAUGUAGCAAAGGUAAUGCC